Molecule: ribosomal RNA, 2658 nt
Filed under: Idotea baltica
Lineage: Eukaryota; Metazoa; Arthropoda; Malacostraca; Isopoda; Idoteidae
Description: partial 18S small subunit ribosomal RNA
Rfam family: Eukaryotic small subunit ribosomal RNA
Source: RNAcentral
UACCUGGUUGAUCCUGCCAGUAGUCAUAUGCUUGUCUCAAAGAUUAAGCCAUGCAUGUCUAAGUACAGGCCUACCCAGGGCGAAACCGCGAAUGGCUCAUUAAAUCAGUCAUGAUUUAUUGGAUGUCGUAAAAUCCCUUACAUGGAUAACUGUGGUAAUUCUAGAGCUAAUACAUGCAAUUGAGCUCCGACCUCGUCGCUGUCAAAGGCGUCGAGGGAAGUGUGCUUUUAUUAGAUAAAAAACCGAGUGGACUUCGGUCCUUCUCCCAUAAAGAGUCAGUGAUGAAUCUGAAUAACCUAGCCGAGCGCUGUGGUCUUCGUACCGGCGUCGUAUCUUUCAAGUGUCUGCCUUAUCAGCUUUCGAUUGUAGGUUAUACGCCUACAAUGGCUGUAACGGGUAACGGGGAAUCAGGGUUCGAUUCCGGAGAGGGAGCCUGAGAAACGGCUACCACAUCUAAGGAAGGCAGCAGGCACGCAAAUUACCCACUCCCGGCACGGGGAGGUAGUGACGAAAAAUAACGAUGCGGGACUCUUCCGAGGCCUCGCAAUCGGAAUGAGUCUACCCUAAAUCCUUGGACGAGGAUCCAUUGGAGGGCAAGUCUGGUGCCAGCAGCCGCGGUAAUUCCAGCUCCAAUAGCGUAUAUUAAAGUUGCUGCGGUUAAAAAGCUCGUAGUUGGACUUCUGAUUCGGUCCGGCGGCCCAUCCAAGGCGUACCCUCGUCACGCGCGAGGGGAUAUCUUUGGCUUCACCCGUCUCGGCGGUCUCGUAAUCGAGUGCGAGUACUUAAUACGCAGUCGGUGGCGUUGGAUAACACGGAACCUCUCCCAUUACGGCGCGCGUGGUGCGUGUGUCGCGGAGAAGGGCUCAAGCGGGUUUGGAAGCGGCGGAGCGAAUCCGGGCGGGUUGGAUCUUCCCCUCACGGGUGUCGAUCGGCGGUUUAGCGGGGUCGAGAGUACUUUCGGCGCGUGGAAAUUUUUUCCUCACGCCGGAUUUCCACUUCUCGGCUCUUUCGCGGCCGUCGGGAGUCCGUGAGAAGGGGCCUUCCCGAAUCCGUUCGUUCUCGUCCUCCUUUCCCGUUCCUUCUCCCUUCCACGCGUUUUACAUGCCACGUUCGCGUCGGGAUGCAUCUUCCAUCCUUCCGCUCAACCGCUCGAUUAUGCUCCUCUCGUUCGGCGUUGGCCCCGGGAUUAAAAGCGGGAGUACGCUGUAUGGGUACUUCCGUUCCGGGCGAGUAAGUGCGCCCGGUGGUUCAACUGCCCGGCCCCGAAUUGAGAAAUCCGUCGGCUUUCACGGGGUGCUCUUCACCGAGUGUCCCGCGUGGCCGAUACGUUCACUUUGAAAAAAUUAGAGUGCUCAGAGCAGGCAAUAACUAACGCCUGAAUGGUAGUGCAUGGAAUGAUGGAACAGGACCUCGGUUCUGUAUUUUUUUUUUGGCUCGGUUCGUCAGAACCCGAGGUAAUGAUUAACAGAAAAAGACGGGGGCAUUAGUAUUGCGACGCUAGAGGUGAAAUUCUUGGACCGUCGCAAGACUAACUACUGCGAAAGCAUUUGCCUAGAAUGUUUUCAUUAAUCAAGAACGAAAGUUAGAGGAUUGAAGGCGAUCAGAUACCGCCCUAGUUCUAACCAUAAACGAUGCUAACUGGCGAUCCGCUUAAGUCAUUCCCACGACUGAGCGGGAAGCCCCCGGGAAACCAAAGUCUUUGAGUUCCGGGGGAAGUAUGGUUGCAAAGCUGAAACUUAAAGGAAUUGACGGAAGGGCACCACCAGGAGUGGCUGCGGCUUAAUUUGACUCAACACGGGGAACCUCACCAGGCCCAGACGCCGGAAGGAUUGACAGAUUAAGAGCUCUUUCUCGAUUCGGUGGGUGGUGGUGCAUGGCCGUUCUUAGUUGGUGGAGCGAUCUGUCUGGUUGAUUCCGAUAACGAACGAGACUCUACCCUACUAACUAGUCGGCGGAUCGUCUCCCGAGAAGGGCCCUCGCCCGGUAGUUUUCGGCGUCCCUUCCUUUCUUACGCCCCCUUUCGCGGUCGGCGGCGCGUCCGUACGGGGUGCGUGAGCUCGUAUUCGAAUUCAUUCGUUGCANCGCUUCGCUCCCGCGCGGUACGUCGUCGUCGGCGGGGAGGGAUCAGCGCCUGGGGGAAGCGUCGUUGCUCCGAGCGUCGGGCCCAGGCGAGGGGGCGUCCGUCGCAACAUCUUCUUAGAGGGAUCGGCGGCGUCCAGCCGCACGAGAAAGAGCAAUAACAGGUCUGUGAUGCCCUUAGAUGCUNUGGGCCGCACGCGCGCUACAAUGAAGGGAUCAGCGUGCUCUCCCCCUCCGAAAGGAGCGGGUAACCCGUUGAAACCCCUUCCCGAUUGGGAUUGGGGCUUGUAAAUAUUUCCCAUGAACGAGGAAUUCCCAGUAAGCGCGAGUCAUCAGCUCGCGUUGAUUACGUCCCUGCCCUUUGUACACACCGCCCGUCGCUACUACCGAUUGAAUGAUUCAGUGAGGGCAUCGGACUGGCGCCCUCGGUAGCCUUCGGCUCGCACUAAAAAGUCUCGUUUCGGCGGGGCUGCGGCCGCGGGCACCCCGGGCUGACGGAAAGAUGUCCGAACUUGAUCAUUUAGAGGAAGUAAAAGUCGUAACAAGGUUUCCGUAGGUGAACCUGCGGAAGGAUCAUUA